Molecule: long non-coding RNA, 2144 nt
Organism: Symphalangus syndactylus (siamang)
Lineage: Eukaryota; Metazoa; Chordata; Mammalia; Primates; Hylobatidae
Source: RefSeq, a predicted model, not a curated record
UAAUUACCUAGCCUGUUCAAUUAAAGGGACAGCAUUCUCUGAAUAUAGCAGCUUGCUGUUGAUUACCAGGGAAAUGAACUCGCUGUCUGGCGGCGCCUCCAUUCCUAACGCCACCCCCUCCCCAAACACACCCUCCACCACCAACUAUCAAUUCUCCCCACCCUCGCCCCAGGCCCCCACCCCCGGCCGCGCCGGGCUCACUGCGGCUGCGGGCGCCACGUGAACCGCCCGAGCGGAGCCCAAGGAAAGAAAGCGCGACCCGCUCGCCCGGCUCCCGCCCUGCGCUCGCCCCCUCGUGGGCCCGAGACCGCCCGCCGGCUGGGCGCUCUGGCUGCGGCCUCGGGCGGCGCCGGCCCGGGUGCUGGCCGCCGAGCGAGCUACGGCCAGCCGACGACCGCCACCCGGGCUUCCGGCGCGUUUCCUCGCCCUCCCCGGACCUGGAGCCCCACCCGUCGGUCUCCGAACUUCCUCCUCGCUGCACUUUCCGCGCCAGUCUCCGGGCCCGAGCUCUCAUUCAUUGCGGACACGUCAUUCGGAGCAGAUCUAAGCCAGAGACCAGAUCUCAUUAGAUAAAGCCCAUCAGAACUGAGAAAAUGGAGGAGCCACUAAUUAAAGCUUUUAAUUGUGCGGAUUCGCUGCAGCAAGGCAGCCGCUUUAUCUGAAAUCUUGGAGGGAGAGGAGGCAGAAGCCCAGCUCUGCCCAUCGACACUUGGCCGCGGAGGGGGAGGGGACUGGUGAAAGCGCCCCCUCAUCUUGCAGCCCCCUCCCCCGCGCUCAGGCCGGCCUUUCCCAGCUCUAACGCAGCUUUUUAGCAAGACCUUGGUUGUUUUCAAAAAACCACAACCUCAAAGUCAAGACAGUUUAAAAGCCCCUCAGUAAAUCACUAUGUGGUCUCAAUCGGACCAAGGGUCCCCUUCACCUGGCGGCGGGCGAGCAGAUUACUCCACUCUUCUGCAGCGGUCCCUGCGGCAUUGAAAGCUCCUCAAACAAGUGGACUUGAGGGACACUGGGGAGGGGGUAGCUGAGAGGAACAGGAACGUCUGCAUCUCCCCACCUUCCCACCCUUUGGGCAUCUUGAUGGGCUGAGAGAGGAACACAAGGAAGACUUCAGUAAUCUCUUAAAUUGGAGGGGAAGGGGCGCUCAGCUGCUGGUGAACCCUGAGCUAAGUGUGAGGCCAUCAAUUUCGUACUGAGCUAGAAUGCAUCUCUCCUAGAAAGAUCUAAGGUCCUCGGGAUAGCAUGUAGUUCAACAGCGAGCCUGGCUCCAGUUUCCAGCUUCAGAGGGAAAAAAGGAAGAACGUAGAUCCCAUUAAUUAAGGCUCAGGGCUGGGCACACAUCCUCCAUUGCUCCAUUAGGGCACAGGAAAACACCAAAAGGCCAUUUACAUUUGGCCCCAAGAAUAGAGAAAAGAAUGGACACAAUUCCCAGGAAGCCACUUGCCUAAACUUGUCCUGGGGGAAUACAAGUCAACCUAUCUUCUUUUUAAUUAGUUGUAAUCAGAAGUGAGGGGUUUUUGGUUUUUUUUUUUUUUUUUGAAGGCACUCGGAGAAGAGAUGAAUUUGUACCAUUCACAGAAUCUUAACAGCACUGUCAAUUUUUCCACUUCAAACCACACUCCUUUCUUACCACAGUUUUGCUUUCUAUUUAAUUACAGCACUGUCAAAGCUCAUGGCAUUACUUGGAAGGAGGACCAGAAAGCAUUACACCCAUGUUCCCGCUGAUUUUCCAACAUUUACUUCUAAAAGAACACUUAGUGAAAUUAAUGCUGCCAUCUUAAUUUAAAAAUAAAAGCCCUCUCCCUUCCUGUAUUUCUUUUACUUGACUGAUUGAGGAUGCCAGCAGAGUGGACACAGGUUGCAUUAUCAAAAUAACUAAAUGUCAUUUUACUCCAUCAUCUUACACUAAUGAUAGCACUGGGGUAAACAUAUCCACACUCAGCUCUGAACUGCACUGGAACCUUUUGCAAUGUUAGUCACAGGGUAAGGCGAAUCACAAUGGAGCUAAACUUUGAACAAAAUAUUUCAUCCACUGAUUUACCCACACUGAAGAAAGAAGAAGAUUUUCUACUAAUCACUUUAAAGAAAAAGGUUUAGGACAAAUUUACAUAGGAUGAAAUUCUUCUUAAAAGUGUGCCGUUUUCUAG